UCCGGUUCCAUCACGCCUCAACGCUGAGGUCUCCUUGCGCCGGGAACGUGAGGGAGCGGGCUGUGCAUAUGGCACAGGCGUCACAGUGACAGGAGAGAACGUGGGCUCGAGGGGACAUCACCCUAUGAGAAGCGCGGGCUGCGUGAGCCUAAGGGCCUUGAGUGCGGGGCGCCAGCACACAGGACCGAGCGGAGGGAUCUCGAUGACUAUGACGAUCUCCUGACCAGUUUAUUUAUUCAACCAACUCUGAAAACCAGCUGGAAUUUGCAUUGAUGGUGGAAAAUCAGUAUGGUAAUGCAACUUUUUCGUACAUUGUCCAUAUUUAUCACGAGAUCACUCUUUGAACAUUAUUAAAAUUAAACUUAAUUCCAUAUUGUGAACUAAGAAUGUACUGAAGAGUUGAGAGACUGCUAAGC
Long non-coding RNA from Choloepus didactylus (southern two-toed sloth), 416 nucleotides. RefSeq lists it as uncharacterized. The transcript is spliced from 3 exons. The record is from RefSeq and is a predicted model, not a curated record. Lineage: Eukaryota; Metazoa; Chordata; Mammalia; Pilosa; Megalonychidae.